CCUACGGGAGGCAGCAGUGGGGAAUCUUGCGCAAUGGGCGAAAGCCUGACGCAGCGACGCCGCGUGGGGGACGAAGGCCUUCGGGUUGUAAACCCCUGUCAGGCGGAACGAAUCCCCUGAGGACGAAUAAUCCUUGGGGUUGACGGUACCGCCAGAGGAAGCCCCGGCUAACUACGUGCCAGCAGCCGCGGUAAU
This 195-nucleotide ribosomal RNA is filed under the name uncultured bacterium. RNAcentral describes it as "partial 16S ribosomal RNA". It matches the Rfam family "Bacterial small subunit ribosomal RNA", at positions 338 to 524 of the family's 1533-position model. The record is from RNAcentral.